UGUCCCCUACGGGAGGCAGCAGUAGGGAAUCUUCCGCAAUGGGCGCAAGCCUGACCCAGCAACGCCGCGUGAAGGAAGAAGGCUUUCGGGUUGUAAACUUCUUUUCUCAGGGACGAAGAAAGUGACGGUACCUGAGGAAUAAGCCACGGCUAACUACGUGCCAGCAGCCGCGGUAAUACGUAGGUGGCAAGCGUUAUCCGGAUUUACUGGGUGUAAAGGGCGUGUAGGCGGGGAAGCAAGUCAGA
RNAcentral lists this ribosomal RNA (245 nucleotides) under uncultured bacterium. Its description in RNAcentral is "partial 16S ribosomal RNA". It matches the Rfam family "Bacterial small subunit ribosomal RNA", at positions 333 to 592 of the family's 1533-position model. The record is from RNAcentral.